CGGGAUAGCUCAGCUGGUAGAGCAAAGGACUGAAAAUCCUCGUGUCCAAUUUUCAAAUAACAA
This 63-nucleotide transfer RNA is filed under the name Gyrinops versteegii. RNAcentral's name for it is "partial tRNA-Phe". The record is from RNAcentral. Lineage: Eukaryota; Viridiplantae; Streptophyta; Magnoliopsida; Malvales; Thymelaeaceae.